This 468-nucleotide ribosomal RNA is filed under the name uncultured bacterium. RNAcentral describes it as "partial 16S ribosomal RNA". It matches the Rfam family "Bacterial small subunit ribosomal RNA", at positions 28 to 507 of the family's 1533-position model. The record is from RNAcentral.
GACGAACGCUGGCGGCGUGCUUAACACAUGCAAGUCGAACGGAAAGGCCCUGCUCUUGUGGGGUGCUCGAGUGGCGAACGGGUGAGUAACACGUGAGUAACCUGCCCUUGACUUUGGGAUAACUUCAGGAAACUGGGGCUAAUACCGGAUAGGAUCUCCUGCUGCAUGGUGGGGGUUGGAAAGUUUCGGCGGUUGGGGAUGGACUCGCGGCUUAUCAGCUUGAUGGUGGGGUAGGGGCUUACCAAGGGUUUGACGGGUAGCCGGCCUGGGAGGGGGACCGGCCACAAUGGGACUGCGAGACGGCCCAGACGCCUACGGGAGGCAGCGGUGGGGAGUAUUACACAAUGGGCGGAAGCCAGAUGCAGCAGCGCUGCGUGCGGGAUGACGGCCUUCGGGUUGUAAACCGCUUUCGCCUGUAACGAAGCGUGAGUGACGGUAAUGGGUAAAGAAGCACCGGCUAACUACGUG